RNAcentral lists this ribosomal RNA (253 nucleotides) under uncultured bacterium. Its description in RNAcentral is "partial 16S ribosomal RNA". It matches the Rfam family "Bacterial small subunit ribosomal RNA", at positions 524 to 776 of the family's 1533-position model. The record is from RNAcentral.
UACGAAGGGAGCUAGCGUUGUUCGGAAUCACUGGGCGUAAAGCGCACGUAGGCGGACGUGUCAGUCAGGGGUGAAAUCCCGGAGCUCAACUUCGGAACUGCCUUUGAUACAGCACGUCUUGAGUCCGAUAGAGGUGGGUGGAAUUCCUAGUGUAGAGGUGAAAUUCGUAGAUAUUAGGAAGAACACCGGUGGCGAAGGCGGCCCACUGGAUCGGUACUGACGCUGAGGUGCGAAAGCGUGGGGAGCAAACAGG